Molecule: long non-coding RNA, 692 nt
Organism: Erythranthe guttata (spotted monkey flower)
Lineage: Eukaryota; Viridiplantae; Streptophyta; Magnoliopsida; Lamiales; Phrymaceae
Source: RefSeq, a predicted model, not a curated record
ACAGAUCGUAAAUCCCCCUUCUAAACCAACUUUUAUAUCAGGGUUUUACGCAUUUUGCAUUUUGCCCUAAAAUUGACAGAAAAUUUAGCAACAUAUACUCCUGAAUUCUUCGAGUUUCGAAGGAAUCUCCAAUCAAGCUAGCCAAGAGUGGAAGUGCUGAAGAUAAAUGACGGCGGCGAGAAAAAUUGGGGAUUUGGCGUUCAAAGCGUUCACGGCGGGGCUCGGCGUCGCCACCAUAUAUCUAACCGCUACUUUCUCCUUCAACGUCUACCGCGGCCUCGCUUGGCACUCCGCUCAAACGAAGGCUGAGAAGGAGGGCUCCUCUAAUCAAAAUGCAGAAUGAUUUUGAGACUCGAUUUCACUAGUCCUAUACCAGUAAUUUUGAUUCAUUUGAAGAUACGAACUAUGGAAUAACGCUGUCUACUCUACGUGUGGUUAAGUUGCUUGAAUCUGAGAUGGUAUGAAUCGAGUUAGACUAAAAGCAUGUAACAGCAAAUUCGAACCAUUAUCAUAUGAAUUACGCAAUUAUUUUUCAAGAUAAUGCGUGAAAGUUUACUACAAAUUGAUUUUUCUGUUCAUGUUACUAUGAGAAGAAAAACGUUUAUCACGAUGCAAAGUGAUACGUGGCUACUUUUCUGUUCCAUUUUAUUGUGUGCAAAGUAAAUUAAAUACUAAAGUUAAUGCUUGGCUAA